Molecule: long non-coding RNA, 3462 nt
Filed under: Nicotiana benthamiana
Lineage: Eukaryota; Viridiplantae; Streptophyta; Magnoliopsida; Solanales; Solanaceae
Description: long non-coding RNA (NBEN_LNC014091)
Source: RNAcentral
UUUUCAACUCCUUCCAUAUAUUUUUAAUCUUCCUCCAUAUAUUAUUCAUAUCCCUCCGAUUUUCUCUAAGUUAAGUAUUUUUAUAAGUUUAAUUUAUUUUUCAAAAACCCACGCCUUAGUGUGAACCCGCAAAAUAAAGCCCUCCGCCCCAAAAUUCAUAUAGCCGGAGCAAGCCUCAGUUUUGUCGACCUUCAACCGUCGGUGUUUCGGCCAGCAAUCGUCGGUUCUCUACCUUCAUUAUCUUUGGGAUUAUCAAAUCUCGGGUCUUCCUCUAUCUAUCUUCAUAUCUUUAGCUCGAUAUUUCUUAGGGUAUUACUUAUUGAAGUUAUUUAGGAGUCCAUCUAUAUGCAAACUGAAGUAUUUCAUGCGAAAAGUUUCAAAUAGUGGAACAUGAAUUCUCAAAUUUGAUUUUAUAGGUGGAAGAAAUUUUUCUGUAUGCGAGAUUAAAGUGGAAUUUGCCCCCUUUUCAGUUAAGAUUCUUCUUCUUUGAUUUUUUUUUUUCUUAAUUACCUGUUUUGACCCAUUUUCUUAUAGUUUUUUUCUGCUAUUUCUAGUUAGUAGUUUUCCUAUUAUCUUUUGGAGAUAGCGACUUCGCUAAAGGAAGGAAUGAAAAAGAUAAAUUAAAUUAGUUUUAUAGUGCAUUUCAUCAAAAUGAUCUCACUUGGAUUUGCGAUGGUUAAUUGAAAAUGCAACAUUGGAACUCUAGUACCAGAACAUUUGCAAUUUAAAAUUUUUUCAAGUAUGAAUUUUAUGUAUGUUUUAUAGCGACUUAACCCUGCAUGUCGAAGUAUAAUAUUGAAGUGUAAUAUUUUCGCCACUGAUUGUUGUGAGAUAUUAUUCUCCUUAGUUCUUCAUGUUCCAUUCACCAAAUGGUGUAUCUAUAGCUUAAUGCCUCAUUAUCUUACUAUUUCCACCAAACAAAGUGAAAAGAAGUAAAGUUAUAUACACAAAUAUUGUGGAAAUUAUAUACACUAAUGGAGGACUGGAUGAUUUAAUCUAGGAAGAUCACGUAAUAAUAACCUUAAUUCAUCGCCAUAUCCUCUUAUAUUCCUUAUGCAUGAUACUUCAUAUGCCUUUUGGUAAAAUAAUCCUAGAAUGUUGUAGGUAAUUGAAUUUUGUUGAUAUAUCUCUUGUACAUUGUGUCGUGAAUCUAGUAUUUAGUUGUUUGCUACUGCUUUUAAGUUUAUUUCUCUGUUGCAAAGAUCAAGUAGCUUUCCAUUCGGUGAUAAUUUUGUAAGUAUCCCAUGUUCCUUCUUAUUCUUUAAUGUUCCGCCGUGACCUCCUCUAUCAAACCCCCAAAGCCCCUUCCCUCGAAUCUGACUGGAACCCUUCGAAUACUAAAUUGAAGUUUUCCGGCCAAAACCUUAAUUACUCCAAACUACUCCAAAUUGAUACCACAUGGUCCCCUGGAUUCCCUCAUGAGGAAUUAAGCGUCAAUAGCACUCAAUUCCCACAGGAGAUGGCCGGAUUUGAACUUUGAGAGUUAGCCGGAGUUUUGAAACCGAGUUAGUGAGUUCCCCGAUUUUCUUCUCUUUUUCCUUUCUGGCGUUAAUUUAUUUGUCAUGACUGUUUGGCUUCUUGAUUACAUACUAAUCUUGGUUGUUAAUAAGUGCUAAUCCAAAAAUCAAUAAGUCCUCUUCAAUUCUGUUUCAAUUUCGUUCAACAGUUAUUUCAGUCCGAUCUUAUCAUUGUUUUAGUUUCUAGUUUAGUUUUGUUUGAUUGGUUUAAACUUGCCUGGGUAAUUCUUGGUGUUAGCUUAAUUGUUGUUUGAAUCCGUUCUAAUACAUGUUACAGUUUAUAAUUCUAAUUGAUUUUGUCUGGCCAUUGUUUGAUUUUAAUCUGCAUUGUUUGAUUUGCUAGUUUUGAUCAGUCAGUUUAAUUUAGUUUAAAUUCAUUAGUUGCAUUAGUAAUUCCAUACUCAAGGAUUAGUUUAAGGUUUGUUAGUGUUCUUGCUUAGCUCUUUAGGAUCAAUAAUUUCAGAUAGAUAAAGGGUAGUUUAGGCAUUUCUGACAAAGAAUAUUGUAGUAACUGAGAAUGAACUUCCUAGAAGCUUCUAAAUGGGGGCUUUAGGUAAAUUACAAAAGAUAAGUGUACUAACUUGGGUAACAAGUCAAUAAGUAGAGGACUAUUGUGAAAAUAGAAGAAGGACCAAAAGGAAAAUAGAAAAAUUGAGGGUUGCCCUCAUUAUUGCCUAUAAAAGGCAGUCCUCUUUGCUUCAUUCAUAAGUUUGGACCCCCAAAAUUCCCCCCAAAACAGUCUUAGUUCCUAGAAGUUAAUUUGAAUUUCAAAUUCAAACAUUAGAUCUCAAAUUUUCUUUCUCAUCUUAGAAAAAUCAAAAAAAUACACAAAAGCCACAGCAAAAUACAAAAAAACACUGUUACAUUGAUCAUUUUUUCAGAUUUCAGCUCUUAAUUCAACUGGUUGGAUCAUUUAGGAUAAAAAACAACUCGAAUUUCUCUAUUUGUGUUCUAUGUUCGAGAGUUAAAGCAUUUGCAAGUAGUUUGGGGUUUAUUCAAGUUGUUAUUGAUGUUUCUAAGUGUUGACUAGUUUUCUGGGCUUCUGGGCUCAAUUUCAAGUCUAUUUGCGUCUAUUCAAGUCAUCUUAGUUGAUUCGUGGUUCUAUCUUAUUUUGAUCACUUUCUGGAUUAUCGAGUUCAUCUCUGGGCUGUAUUUGAUUCCUGCUUGCUACUGCGGCUGAUACUUCUUCCUUUUUUUGUGAUUCUAAUACCAGGUACACUUUCAUAGCCUUUAAUGAUCUGGAAGUUUGAUUCAUGUGUAUGAAUAAUUUGGGGAAUAAAUGAAGAAGAGUUGGUAUCUGUUGACCUGAGUUUACUUAGAAUCAUUUUUAGCUUUUAAUAUUCAUUUUAGCUAUUCAUGUUUAAUUGUAAUUAUAACAAUUGUUUGAACUGUCUGAUGUGUAUUGGACUAUAAUAGGACUGUUUUGAGACUAUUCUUAACUUGUGGAUUGUGAGUUGAUUUUAUGUCGGCCUGUGAGCAGGUGAAUCCAUUAAUUAGUAAUUUUAUUUUGGGUUUAGCUUGUGUUACGAGUGUAGUGUAAUUCGAAUCUAUAUGAUAGUUGUAUUUUACAGUUGGAAAUUGAACUAAUAAUCAGUACGCAUGCUCCUAUUAUGUUAAGCAAUAAACAGUUUUAGUAAUAAUUCAGUAGUGCAAUUUUGGAAUCACGAGAUCGCCUGAAUGUUGAAUGACAGCUUAGUAAUGCUAAUUUGAAUAAGUAUCAUGUAAUUGAGCUGCUAAUACUGUUGUUUUCAGUUUGAUUUUUACCUUUAGUGAAUAUUAGGAGCUCACUAGUAGAUAGAUAAAUAAGAUAAUCUAAGUAUGGAACUGGAGACAAGAGGGGCUUGGUCUGAUGGUAACCAACCCUCACUUACAACCGAAAGGUUGUGAGUUCGAGUCUCCCCAGGAGCAAAUUCUGGGGAUUUAUGCCGGGGGUCUAUUUGGAAAC